UAUUAGGAGAUGGUAUAAAGUGUAUGUUGUAAUGUGUAGGAUAUAUACAAAGAUACAUACUUGAAAGUCCGUAGAGGAAACAAAUUUUUAUGCCUUCUGUUUGACUGUUUGUCAUAUAUUUGGUUUUAUUUCCCAGGGAUCAGUGAAUUUUAACUCUGGAGUCCUCUAUGCUAAGGAUGCUCAGCUUACAGAUGAUGAAAUGUUCAGUAAUGUAUUUGCUGGAGCUGUGCUUACCCAAGGUUUGGGUAAAACAAGCUUUGGGUUCCUUCUGUCUCACUGGGAGUUGCCCAAUUCAGUUGCAUCUGGUGAAAUUCACCCUGAGACCUUACAGAACUAGCUCCAACUACGUGAGAGCCAUUUGCAGUUCUCUCCAGACACCUGGAGAAUGGGCGACGUUUCUGAGGAUCCGGCGAGCGUGCUUCUGUCAAAACUCAGUCUGUGAAAUUUCUGGGGAAAACACUUCUGUGUCCUGAAGGGUUCAAACUCUGGUGAGGAUCCAGUUAUCAGGUGCUCACCUGGAUGGUUCCAGCUCCCAAAGGGAAAGGCUCUCGUAUCCUUGUCGUCGGGCUCGGUGCUGUCCAAGAAGAUACAGAGACUAAAAAAUCAUAAGAAGCAAAAUAUGACUGCAGGGAAAAGAAGCUGGAGAGAACAGAAGACAUUGCUCCACUCCCCAGAGGAUUAUUGUGAGCAGAUGUGAGCUCUGCUGUCCCUUUGGACUGACAAAGACAGAGGUUUUGUCCCAAGUUGCUUUUGAACCUGUCCUGCACCCGUUACGAGUCCUCAGUCUCCUGCAAUUUUGUGGGUCAGUCACAUGUAAAACAGCACAGCUGGCUGGCAUGCUUUGCUCAUGAGGGGAGACAAGAGAAGAAUCCCUCUGCUCACACCAGACCUGCAGCUGCCAAACCUCACCAAAGCACCUGAGGAGCCCCCAGGGACUGAUGGUACAGAAGGGAGGUGAUGGAGGACAGCACAGCAGGCAGCCUGCCCUCCAUCUGGCUGUGAAGAAGGCAGGGCUGGGAACUGUCAGCAACAUCCCAGCAGGUCUGGCUGAUGGUGCCACCCUGAGGGCUUCCCCUGCCUUUGGGCAGUCCCAGCUGCUGCAGCUCACUUGACAGAGACUCAUUGUCUAUACUGUGCUUGGCUGCACUGGAGAUGAUGAAGCCGAGGACAGCAAUGGUUGCCUUCACAUCCCCUGACUGCAGAUGGGAAGGAGGGCGAGCUCUGUCACCUUGGGAAGGCCUCUGCAGAGUCACUGCUGC
Melospiza melodia melodia is the source of this 1259-nucleotide long non-coding RNA. RefSeq lists it as uncharacterized. The record is from RefSeq and is a predicted model, not a curated record. The transcript has 4 exons. Lineage: Eukaryota; Metazoa; Chordata; Aves; Passeriformes; Passerellidae.